This 2921-nucleotide ribosomal RNA is filed under the name Staphylococcus aureus UCIM6053. RNAcentral's name for it is "bacterial LSU rRNA". It matches the Rfam family "Bacterial large subunit ribosomal RNA". Lineage: Bacteria; Bacillati; Bacillota; Bacilli; Caryophanales; Staphylococcaceae. The record is from RNAcentral.
UUAAGUUAUUAAGGGCGCACGGUGGAUGCCUUGGCACUAGAAGCCGAUGAAGGACGUUACUAACGACGAUAUGCUUUGGGGAGCUGUAAGUAAGCUUUGAUCCAGAGAUUUCCGAAUGGGGAAACCCAGCAUGAGUUAUGUCAUGUUAUCGAUAUGUGAAUACAUAGCAUAUCAGAAGGCACACCCGGAGAACUGAAACAUCUUAGUACCCGGAGGAAGAGAAAGAAAAUUCGAUUCCCUUAGUAGCGGCGAGCGAAACGGGAAGAGCCCAAACCAAAAAGCUUGCUUGUUGGGGUUGUAGGACACUCUAUACGGAGUUACAAAGGACGACAUUAGACGAAUCAUCUGGAAAGAUGAAUCAAAGAAGGUAAUAAUCCUGUAGUCGAAAAUGUUGUCUCUCUUGAGUGGAUCCUGAGUACGACGGAGCACGUGAAAUUCCGUCGGAAUCUGGGAGGACCAUCUCCUAAGGCUAAAUACUCUCUAGUGACCGAUAGUGAACCAGUACCGUGAGGGAAAGGUGAAAAGCACCCCGGAAGGAGAGUGAAAUAGAACCUGAAACCGUGUGCUUACAAGUAGUCAGAGCCCGUUAAUGGGUGAUGGCGUGCCUUUUGUAGAAUGAACCGGCGAGUUACGAUUUGAUGCAAGGUUAAGCAGUAAAUGUGGAGCCGUAGCGAAAGCGAGUCUGAAUAGGGCGUUUAGUAUUUGGUCGUAGACCCGAAACCAGGUGAUCUACCCUUGGUCAGGUUGAAGUUCAGGUAACACUGAAUGGAGGACCGAACCGACUUACGUUGAAAAGUGAGCGGAUGAACUGAGGGUAGCGGAGAAAUUCCAAUCGAACCUGGAGAUAGCUGGUUCUCUCCGAAAUAGCUUUAGGGCUAGCCUCAAGUGAUGAUUAUUGGAGGUAGAGCACUGUUUGGACGAGGGGCCCCUCUCGGGUUACCGAAUUCAGACAAACUCCGAAUGCCAAUUAAUUUAACUUGGGAGUCAGAACAUGGGUGAUAAGGUCCGUGUUCGAAAGGGAAACAGCCCAGACCACCAGCUAAGGUCCCAAAAUAUAUGUUAAGUGGAAAAGGAUGUGGCGUUGCCCAGACAACUAGGAUGUUGGCUUAGAAGCAGCCAUCAUUUAAAGAGUGCGUAAUAGCUCACUAGUCGAGUGACACUGCGCCGAAAAUGUACCGGGGCUAAACAUAUUACCGAAGCUGUGGAUUGUCCUUUGGACAAUGGUAGGAGAGCGUUCUAAGGGCGUUGAAGCAUGAUCGUAAGGACAUGUGGAGCGCUUAGAAGUGAGAAUGCCGGUGUGAGUAGCGAAAGACGGGUGAGAAUCCCGUCCACCGAUUGACUAAGGUUUCCAGAGGAAGGCUCGUCCGCUCUGGGUUAGUCGGGUCCUAAGCUGAGGCUGACAGGCGUAGGCGAUGGAUAACAGGUUGAUAUUCCUGUACCACCUAUAAUCGUUUUAAUCGAUGGGGGGACGCAGUAGGAUAGGCGAAGCGUGCGAUUGGAUUGCACGUCUAAGCAGUAAGGCUGAGUAUUAGGCAAAUCCGGUACUCGUUAAGGCUGAGCUGUGAUGGGGAGAAGACAUUGAGUCUUCGAGUCGUUGAUUUCACACUGCCGAGAAAAGCCUCUAGAUAGAAAAUAGGUGCCCGUACCGCAAACCGACACAGGUAGUCAAGAUGAGAAUUCUAAGGUGAGCGAGCGAACUCUCGUUAAGGAACUCGGCAAAAUGACCCCGUAACUUCGGGAGAAGGGGUGCUCUUUAGGGUUAACGCCCAGAAGAGCCGCAGUGAAUAGGCCCAAGCGACUGUUUAUCAAAAACACAGGUCUCUGCUAAACCGUAAGGUGAUGUAUAGGGGCUGACGCCUGCCCGGUGCUGGAAGGUUAAGAGGAGUGGUUAGCUUCUGCGAAGCUACGAAUCGAAGCCCCAGUAAACGGCGGCCGUAACUAUAACGGUCCUAAGGUAGCGAAAUUCCUUGUCGGGUAAGUUCCGACCCGCACGAAAGGCGUAACGAUUUGGGCACUGUCUCAACGAGAGACUCGGUGAAAUCAUAGUACCUGUGAAGAUGCAGGUUACCCGCGACAGGACGGAAAGACCCCGUGGAGCUUUACUGUAGCCUGAUAUUGAAAUUCGGCACAGCUUGUACAGGAUAGGUAGGAGCCUUUGAAACGUGAGCGCUAGCUUACGUGGAGGCGCUGGUGGGAUACUACCCUAGCUGUGUUGGCUUUCUAACCCGCACCACUUAUCGUGGUGGGAGACAGUGUCAGGCGGGCAGUUUGACUGGGGCGGUCGCCUCCUAAAAGGUAACGGAGGCGCUCAAAGGUUCCCUCAGAAUGGUUGGAAAUCAUUCAUAGAGUGUAAAGGCAUAAGGGAGCUUGACUGCGAGACCUACAAGUCGAGCAGGGUCGAAAGACGGACUUAGUGAUCCGGUGGUUCCGCAUGGAAGGGCCAUCGCUCAACGGAUAAAAGCUACCCCGGGGAUAACAGGCUUAUCUCCCCCAAGAGUUCACAUCGACGGGGAGGUUUGGCACCUCGAUGUCGGCUCAUCGCAUCCUGGGGCUGUAGUCGGUCCCAAGGGUUGGGCUGUUCGCCCAUUAAAGCGGUACGCGAGCUGGGUUCAGAACGUCGUGAGACAGUUCGGUCCCUAUCCGUCGUGGGCGUAGGAAAUUUGAGAGGAGCUGUCCUUAGUACGAGAGGACCGGGAUGGACAUACCUCUGGUGUACCAGUUGUCGUGCCAACGGCAUAGCUGGGUAGCUAUGUGUGGACGGGAUAAGUGCUGAAAGCAUCUAAGCAUGAAGCCCCCCUCAAGAUGAGAUUUCCCAACUUCGGUUAUAAGAUCCCUCAAAGAUGAUGAGGUUAAUAGGUUCGAGGUGGAAGCAUGGUGACAUGUGGAGCUGACGAAUACUAAUCGAUCGAAGACUUAAUCAA